Molecule: ribosomal RNA, 425 nt
Filed under: Eupsophus calcaratus (Chiloe Island ground frog)
Lineage: Eukaryota; Metazoa; Chordata; Amphibia; Anura; Alsodidae
Description: partial 16S ribosomal RNA
Source: RNAcentral
UGGAGUCAUACAAAUAAGGUACAGCCUAUUUGAAACAGGACACAACCUCAACUAACGGGUAAACUAACGGCUACGAUGAUCAAGUAGGCUUAAGAGCAGCCAUCUUCAAAAUAGCGUCUAAGCUUAAUUAUUUAGCCAUUUAAUUUCCUUAAUCUUCAUCAACCCUUUAUCCGUACCGAGUAAUUCUAUACACCUAUAGAAUUUUUUAUGUUAGAACUAGUAACAAGAAGAAGACCUUUUCUAAAAUGCAGGUGUAAAUCAUAGAGGACCCACCACUGAUAAUUAACAUAUCUGAAUCCACAGUAGUAACUCGACAAUAAAAUCGCAUUAUUCUUUAUGUUAUCCUCACUCGAGAGCGUUGCUAAACAGAUUUUAAGAGAAAGAAGCAACUCGGCAACGAUUAGCCUCGCCUAGUUACCAAAACA